This 510-nucleotide ribosomal RNA is filed under the name uncultured bacterium. RNAcentral's name for it is "partial 16S ribosomal RNA". It matches the Rfam family "Bacterial small subunit ribosomal RNA", at positions 28 to 507 of the family's 1533-position model. The record is from RNAcentral.
GACGAACGCUGGCGGCGUGCUUAACACAUGCAAGUCGAACGAAGAGCGAUGGAAGCUUGCUUCUAUCAAUCUUAGUGGCGAACGGGUGAGUAACGCGUAAUCAACCUGCCCUUCAGAGGGGGACAACAGUUGGAAACGACUGCUAAUACCGCAUACGAUCUGACCUCGGCAUCGAGGAUAGAUGAAAGGUGGCCUCUACAUGUAAGCUAUCACUGAAGGAGGGGAUUGCGUCUGAUUAGCUAGUUGGAGGGGUAACGGCCCACCAAGGCGAUGAUCAGUAGCCGGUCUGAGAGGAUGAACGGCCACAUUGGGACUGAGACACGGCCCAGACUCCUACGGGAGGCAGCAGUGGGGAAUCUUCCGCAAUGGACGAAAGUCUGAACGAGCAACGCCGCGUGAGUGAUGACGGCCUUCGGGUUGUAAAGCUCUGUUAAUCGGGACGAAAGGCCUUUUUGCGAAUAGGGAGAAGGAUUGACGGUACCGGAAUAGAAAGCCACGGCUAACUACGUG